CGCGGCCUAUCAGCUUGUUGGAGAGGUAACGGCUCACCAAGGCAUCGACGGGUAGCUGGUCUGAGAGGAUGAUCAGCCACACUGGAACUGAGACACGGUCCAGACUCCUACGGGAGGCAGCAGUGGGGAAUCUUGCACAAUGGGCGCAAGCCUGAUGCAGCAACGCCGCGUGCGGGAAGACGGCCCUAGGGUUGUAAACCGCUUUCAGGAGGGAAGAAAAUGACGGUACCUCCAGAAGAAGGUGCGGCCAACUACGUGCCAGCAGCCGCGGUGACACGUAGGCACCAAGCGUUGUCCGGAUUUAUUGGGCGUAAAGAGCUCGUAGGCGGUUCAGUAAGUCGGGUGUGAAAACUCUGGGCUCAACCCAGAGACGCCACCCGAUACUGCUGUGACUUGAGUACGGUAGGGGAGCGGGGAAUUCCUGGUGUAGCGGUGAAAUGCGCAGAUAUCAGGAGGAACACCAGUGGCGAAGGCGCCGCUCUGGGCCGUAACUGACGCUGAGGAGCGAAAGCGUGGGUAGCAAACAGGAUUAGAUACCCUGGUAGUCCACGCCGUAAACGUUGGGCACUAGGUGUGGGUCUCAACCAACGAGAUCCGCGCCGUCGCUAACGCAUUAAGUGCCCCGCCUGGGGAGUACGG
RNAcentral lists this ribosomal RNA (639 nucleotides) under uncultured bacterium. Its description in RNAcentral is "bacterial SSU rRNA". It matches the Rfam family "Bacterial small subunit ribosomal RNA", at positions 232 to 885 of the family's 1533-position model. The record is from RNAcentral.